Molecule: long non-coding RNA, 3957 nt
Organism: Ostrea edulis (European flat oyster)
Lineage: Eukaryota; Metazoa; Mollusca; Bivalvia; Ostreida; Ostreidae
Exons: 4
Source: RefSeq, a predicted model, not a curated record
AUAGGAUCAGACCCCUCUUUGCUGUUUGUGGUGUUCCUAAGAAUGAUGCAAUAAUUCAUCAUUAGAAACCUGUUGCCAUCCCUGUUAUGAAAUGAAUAUUGAUUUUAAGUUAUGGGAUAUCAUAUACAAAGGUCACAUAAGGUCACAAAAUAUUAUGCCAAUAUCCGAUUUUUUUUUCCCCCUUUUUUCUUCUUCCAUUUUUUAUGCCGCAAAUUUUCAUUAACUUUCAGCACAUUUUGUUUCAGAAAACACAGAGCUCUAAAAUAAGAAAAUCUAAAAGGGAUUUACUUAAUAAAACAUCAACGUACUUCAUUGUUACUCAAUUGAUAACGCACUUGUUUUCUAUUGCUUAAGACUAAAAUAAUUGUAAUAAAUGUUUUCAGAUUGUUUAUACUAGGGAUGCUAGUGCUGCAGCAAUGCAUUCAAUGAUUUAAAAAGUGAUCAAAUCACUGAUAUAAAUUAUAAAUAAUAUAGCUACAACCAUUUGUUUUGCUUUUUUUCUUUUAUUCUACACAAUUCCUAAGAUUAAUAAAUGAAUAAUAUCUCAUUGUGGUCUAACUAGCCUAAAGCUGUGUGUUAAUAUUAAUUGUCUGCCAUUUCAUAACAUUGUAUUCUUUGAUUAUUAACAAAACGCUAAUAUUUUAACAAACUCUCUCAAACCGGAAAAAAUCCCAAGUUCUGACAUAUAGAAUUCUUUUUCUCAUAAUUAUUCUUGGGACCACACGCUCAGGAUUAUUAUGAUAAGCUGCAUGAUGCAUAUUAGAUGGUAACAUACAUUUAUUAAUGUUAGAUUAUACUUAUAAUAUUAUAUUAAAAUGCUCUAGAUUAACUAAAUAAUGCUCUAGAUUAACUAUUUUCAAACUAAUGUUAAAAGAAUACUUCAUAAGUCCUAAAAAUUUAAAUUUUCUCUGGAUUUCUUUUUGUGUGGUGGUAUCUAACGUAGGUCCAAGUUCCUGUGUAAACCACUGUAAACAGCUGAUUGAGGUUACAAGGCAUAUUAUGGGUGUUGAAAAUGCGCAUCGAGCGUUUGAUUUCUUGUCAUUCUGCAGUGCUGUAAUCUUGUUUAUACUCUCUUACAUCCGUGCAAUUUCUUGUCGAUCGCCAUAGAUGUGUUAGACCAUGAUAAAAAUUUUUAUAUAUUCUCAUUCCCGCCCGCCUCGAUUUCCCCCCUAUUAUUGUAAAAUUUCUGAUUUUCUUCGUCUUGAUUCUGGUCGGGAUCGGUAUUCACCUCCCCAUUCAACUUUCAUUUUAAUACCCGCGUAUUCUCCUUGACAGCUGACAGGCUAGGUGAAGGUAUGGGUAAUUUCUUGUGAAAGAAUUAGAUUGGUGGGCAUAAUACCGUUAUCUGCACCGCAUAUCUUUAAUAUACAGUUUAUUCCGUAAUUUAGGUUAUAUGAUAUUGUCCUACGGACCCAGUUUAACAAAAGAAUUCGUUUCCAUGUAUUGACAAUGUAGCAAGAUAAACACGGGCGUAACUCGAACUCAGUGAAUUCACUAUGAAUAAUCCCGAGAGUUCUUAAUGUCAGCAUGGUGUGUAAAUUCGAAGGGAGAAAAACGGUGAGAAAAUGAGCUGAAUUUUCGUCUUUAUCUGGAUUACUUUUUAGGGGUUGAUGCUUCACAGGAAGACGGUUCGUUUGGACGCCUGUUAAACGAUGAUCAUCUUCAUCCAAAUUGUAAGCCAAAAGUCAUUGAGAUAGAUGAGAAGCCAGUUAUUUGCUUUUACUCUCUAAAACCAAUACCUCCAGAUACAGAACUGUUGUAUUGAUUAUGGGCCUGGUAACAUGUAUCCUUGGAGAAGAAAGAGGAAGUAAAGGAUAUUGAUGCCAGUUCUUGUGUGGAUGAUGAGGAUCAGAGUGAGGAGGAAAUAGAUGACAGUCAAGACAACCAGAAUUUCCAAACUGUGACUCCAGGGAAGAGGGAGGCAGUAUCUGAUAGCGGAUGCUCCAGAGAAAUAGAUGAGUCUUCAUCCAAGCGACAGAAGUUACAGAAAAAGCCAUGGACUUCAUCUGAAAUAACUCCAUUCACAAACAUUUUUCACACUUUAUUACCAUGUUGAAGGUACCUGGGAAAAAUGAUGUAACAAAUGUUUUGAAAAAAGAUAAAAACCUUUCAAAAAGAACUUGGAGAAAUGUAAGAGACCAAGUCUACAAUCUAAUUAAAAAACAGAGAAAAUGUUGAUUUUGAUACUACUUUGAUUGUUCACUAGAAUUGAUGGUAUCUGUAUGAAAAAUGAUAUUUUUGUUUACAGUUCUUACAAUUUACAUAAAUUGUACAUAAAAGAAUUUGUUGAAUCAUUAUCAAAAUAGAUUUUGACAAAUUUCAGCUUUUUAGCUCAUAUGAGCCAAAGGCUCAAGUGAGCCUUUCUGAUCAAAAUUUGUCUGUUGUCUGUCGUUGUUGUGACCGGAAGGUCGGAUGUUCGAAUCCCUGCUGCGACUUGACCUGAGUCAAUAAGAAAUAGGUAGCAACUGUUCCAUGGCCAAGCGCUCAACACAUUGAAAUAAUAGUUUCAGGUCUUUCAGAUGAGACCUUAAAAACUGAGGUUCCGUGUCAUGGCAGGUGUUGGAAUGAUAAAGAUCCCUCACUAAGUUCCGAGUAAAGGUCUAAAUUUGAAGCCCUUCGCUGGUAUAUGGUGAGGUCUCUAUAUGACUGAAAAUCUCAAACGGGAUGUAAAACAACAUAAAAUCAAUCUAUCAAUCAGUCAUUGUCAACUUUUUACAAUAUCAUCUUCUUCUCCAGAACCACUGGGCCAGUUUCAACCAGACUUGGCACAAAUUACGAAUUCAAGUUUGUGCAAAUGAAGGGCCACAUCGUCUUUCAAGGGAAAAUAAUUAAGAAAAAGUAAAAUUGGGUGUUGUCAUUCAAAAAUCUUCUUCUCAAGAACCUUUGGGUCAGUAAAGAUGAAACUUAAAUGAAAGCUUUCUGACAAAGUGUAAAUUCAAUUUAUUCAAAUCAUGACCCCGGGGUAUUGGUGGAGCCAUUAUGGGCAAUCAAAGUUUUACAUAGGAAAAAUCUUUAAAAUCUUCUUCUUAAGAACAGCAGAGUCAUAAUCAGUCACAUUUAUAUGGAAGCAUCGUCAGGUAGUGUAGAUUCAAGUUUGUUCAAAUCAUGACCCCUGGGAGUAGGGUGGGGCCAUUAUGAACAAUCAAUACCUAGGAAUACAUAGGGAAAAUCCUUAAAAUCUAUUUCUCAAGAACAGCAUAGCCAUGAUAAUUCAUUUUAUAUGGAGGUAUCCUCAGGUAGUGUAGAAUCAAGUUUGGUCCAAUUGUGGCCCUGAGGUAGGGUGGGACAACUAUGGGCGGUCAAAUUUUUUACACAGGAAUACAUAGCAAAAUUCUUUAAAACUAUUUUCCCCAUGAAUAAAAAAGUAAUGAUUAGUCACAUAUAUAUAGAAGCAUCCUAUGGUAAGCAUAGAUUCAAGUUUGCUCUAGUCAUGAAUCCCCCCCACUACCUCCUGGGCUACAAUGAGUAAUCAAAUAAAAGUUUUUCAUAGGAAUAUGUAGAGAACAAAAUCUUCUGAUUAAAAACAAGAAUGGUCAUAAUUACUCAGGUGAGCAUUGUGGCCCAUGGGCACAUUGUUUAAUCAAAAUGCAGAGAAUAUGUUAAUUUGCAUAUUACAUGUACAUGUAAUAUUGAUCAGUUGGUCAUGUGAUAUAAUUUUAUAUCUGAAAUGAAAUGAUGACAAUUGUAUGAAUGAUGAUGAGUUUAAAGUCAGAUUCUUUAACACAUGUAUUUUCAAGAAAAAAUUUGUCUGGAGGUAUUUUGGAAAUUUACUUUUUAUAGUAUUGUAAUAAAUGUUUGUUUUCAUGCUAUGUUGAAGGUCGAGUAUCUACGAACACAACUGACUUGAAUGAACAUCAGAAGUAUUAGAUAAUGUAUUUACAACUGAAACUGUAAUAGAAUUUUAUCAAUUGAAUUUGUGAAAUUAAUUUGAUAAUAAAUUUUGAUUUUUUACCUAAA